RNAcentral lists this long non-coding RNA (782 nucleotides) under Salmo salar (Atlantic salmon). RNAcentral describes it as "lncRNA (ENSSSAG00000091987.1)". The record is from RNAcentral. Lineage: Eukaryota; Metazoa; Chordata; Actinopteri; Salmoniformes; Salmonidae.
GCCUCUUCUCCCUAUUAAGGCCCUGCCGGAGGCCUCUUCUCCCUAUUAAGGCCCUGAUGGAGGCCUCUUCUCCCUAUUAAGGCCCUGGUGGAGGCAUGCCUCUUCUCUUUAUUAAGGCCCUGCUGGAGGCCUCUUCUCCCUAUUAAGGCCCUGGUGGAGGCCUCUUCUCUUUAUUAAGGCCCUGGUGGAGGCCUCUUCUCCCUAUUAAGGCCCUGGUGGAGGCAUGCCUCUUCUCUCUAUUAAGGCCCUGGUGGAGGCUUCUUCUCCCUAUUAAGUGUUGGGUUAGUCAACUGUCAGGUUGUCCAGCAUCAAUGUCCUGGUGGGACUUUUGCCUGGUAGCAAGGCAAUGGCCCCGGGCCCUGUAUCCAUAGAGACUGCUACUCUUAUUUAUCUAGAUUCAGCUCCCAUGCAGGCCUCUGUUUGAUGGGAAAUCCCUGUCUCGCAUUUCGCCUCCAGUUUGCAGGAUAAUUGUCAGUUUUGUGCUUAGGGAUAGAGUGAGUGGGAGGAAGGUGUUUGCGCUCGAACUGAAAACUCUGACAUUUAGAAGCGAGGAUCAGGGGAACUGCCAUGAUCUGAGAGGUGUUGUGGUUCACUGUCACGGUCAUUUGUGUACUAGACUUAAUUUAUCAAAUCUAUUGCCAAAUAGGAAGCUACUAUUCUGCAGGUGGCAGAAAAUAUGGUGGUGUCCCUGUGGGACACAUCAGGUAAUAUAGCACUUGCCAAGCUUUAAUAAACAACGUCAGGUAACAUAACACUGACCAAGCUUUAAUAAACAACGUCAG